RNAcentral lists this ribosomal RNA (828 nucleotides) under Versicolorisporium triseptatum. Its description in RNAcentral is "partial large subunit ribosomal RNA". It matches the Rfam family "Eukaryotic large subunit ribosomal RNA", at positions 92 to 936 of the family's 3401-position model. The record is from RNAcentral. Lineage: Eukaryota; Fungi; Ascomycota; Dothideomycetes; Pleosporales; Occultibambusaceae.
AGUGAAGCGGCAACAGCUCAAAUUUGAAAUCUGGCCCUUUCAGGGCCCGAGUUGUAAUUUGUAGAGGGUGCUUUGGCGAUUGGCAGCGGUCUAAGUUCCUUGGAACAGGACGUCGCAGAGGGUGAGAAUCCCGUACGUGGCCGCCGGACUCCGCCGUGUAAAGCCCCUUCGACGAGUCGAGUUGUUUGGGAAUGCAGCUCUAAAUGGGAGGUAAAUUUCUUCUAAAGCUAAAUAUUGGCCAGAGACCGAUAGCGCACAAGUAGAGUGAUCGAAAGAUGAAAAGCACUUUGGAAAGAGAGUCAAAAAGCACGUGAAAUUGUUGAAAGGGAAGCGCUUGCAGCCAGACUUGCCCGCAGUUGCUCACCCUAGCCAACGGCUCGGGGCACUCUUCUGCGGGCAGGCCAGCAUCAGUUCAGGCGGCCGGACAAAGACCUCUAUCACGUAUCUUCCUUCGGGAUGACCUUAUAGGGGAGGUGUAAUGCGGCCAGCCUGGAUUGAGGUCCGCGCAUCAGCUAGGAUGCUGGCGUAAUGGCUGUAAGCGGCCCGUCUUGAAACACGGACCAAGGAGUCUAACAUCUAUGCGAGUGUUUGGGUGUCAAGCCCGGGCGCGCAAUGAAAGUGAACGGAGGUGGGAACCCCUCGGGGCGCACCAUCGACCGAUCCUGAUGUCUUCGGAUGGAUUUGAGUAAGAGCAUAGCUGUUGGGACCCGAAAGAUGGUGAACUAUGCCUGAAUAGGGUGAAGCCAGAGGAAACUCUGGUGGAGGCUCGCAGCGGUUCUGACGUGCAAAUCGAUCGUCAAAUUUGGGCAUAGGGGCGAAAGACUAAUC